Molecule: non-coding RNA, 75 nt
Organism: Myotis lucifugus (little brown bat)
Lineage: Eukaryota; Metazoa; Chordata; Mammalia; Chiroptera; Vespertilionidae
Source: Rfam
GGCAGUUCUUGGGUGACACAUCACGGAAUCGGGCUCCCUCCUUUCUGGUUCCUGGUGCGUCACCUGAGAACCACC